UCCCUGGAAGUCCAGUGGUUAAGACUCUGCACUUCUGAUGCAGGGGCACAGGUUUAAUCUCUGGUUGGGGAA
Molecule: transfer RNA, 72 nt
Organism: Ovis aries (sheep)
Lineage: Eukaryota; Metazoa; Chordata; Mammalia; Artiodactyla; Bovidae
Rfam family: tRNA
About the family: Transfer RNA (tRNA) molecules are approximately 80 nucleotides in length. Their secondary structure includes four short double-helical elements and three loops (D, anti-codon, and T loops).
Source: Rfam